Felis catus (domestic cat) is the source of this 477-nucleotide long non-coding RNA. RefSeq lists it as uncharacterized. The transcript has 3 exons. The record is from RefSeq and is a predicted model, not a curated record. NCBI's taxonomy places the organism in Eukaryota, Metazoa, Chordata, Mammalia, Carnivora, Felidae.
CGCGCAGGAGGGCUCUCCGGAAGUGGCCUGUGUUCCUCGGCGUGCUUGGGUGCUGAGCUGCUAGCGAUCGUGAAGGGCUGCAGGGACAGUUGAAGGGCAAAGACCGGCGUGUUGGUUCAUGCAAAGGAAAUAAAAACUGGAUCGCUGACAUUCCAGGAUGUGGCCGUGGACUUCACCCCAGAAGAGUGGCAGCUGCUGGACUGUGAUCAGAGAACCUUGUAUUGGGAUGUGAUGCUGGAGAACUUUAGAAACCUCACCGCAGUGGAAGUUAUCUGCUUACUUGCUGAUGCACUAGAGAGACAGGAGGGAAGCAAAGACAAUUUUUUGAAUCAAGAUAUGUUCACCUUCAAGAAAACACUGACCAUGAAGAGAGUCCAAAAUCGUAAUCUGAAUAUAAAAUUUAUUUCUUCAAGACAAACACAACAUAAAUGUGAGUCAAAUGGAAAGAGUCUGCAACCUAAUUCACAUUGGCUUAGU